RNAcentral lists this ribosomal RNA (377 nucleotides) under uncultured bacterium. RNAcentral's name for it is "bacterial SSU rRNA". It matches the Rfam family "Bacterial small subunit ribosomal RNA", at positions 521 to 896 of the family's 1533-position model. The record is from RNAcentral.
UAAUACGUAGGAUGCGAGCGUUGUCCGGAUUUAUUGGGCGUAAAGAGAACGUAGGUGGUUUCUUAAGUUUGGUCUUAAAGACCGGGGCUCAACCCCGGGAAUGGAUCGAAUACUGGGAGACUAGAGGAUGUUAGAGGAAAGUGGAAUUCCAAGUGUAGCGGUGAAAUGCGUAGAUAUUUGGAGGAACACCAGUGGCGAAAGCGGCUUUCUGGGACAUUCCUGACACUGAGGUUCGAAAGCUCGGGGAGCAAACAGGAUUAGAUACCCUGGUAGUCCGAGCCGUAAACGAUGGACACUAGGUGUCAUGGGUAUCGACCCCCGUGGUGCCGUAGCUAACGCGUUAAGUGUCCCGCCUGGGGAGUACGGUCGCAAGACUG